GCGCCUGUAGCUCAGUGGAUAGAGCACCCGCCUUCUAAGCGGAUUGUCGAAGGUUCAAAUCCUUCCAGGCGCG
Molecule: transfer RNA, 73 nt
Filed under: Candidatus Obscuribacterales bacterium
Lineage: Bacteria; Bacillati; Candidatus Melainabacteria; Candidatus Obscuribacterales
Description: tRNA-Arg
Rfam family: tRNA
About the family: Transfer RNA (tRNA) molecules are approximately 80 nucleotides in length. Their secondary structure includes four short double-helical elements and three loops (D, anti-codon, and T loops).
Source: RNAcentral